AGAUGGAUUAGUGGCGCACGGGUGAGUAAUGCAUAGGUUAUGUGCCCUUUAGUCUGGGAUAGCCACUGGAAACGGUGAUUAAUACUAGAUACUCCCUACGGGGGAAAGAAUUUCGCUAAAGGAUCAGCCUAUGUCCUAUCAGCUUGUUGGUGAGGUAAUGGCUCACCAAGGCUAUGACGGGUAUCCGACCUGAGAGGGUGAACGGACACACUGGAACUGAGACACCGGUCCAGACCUCCUACGGGAGGCAGCCAGUAGGGAAUAUUGCUCAAUGGGGGAAACCAUGAACCCAAACCGCCCGCCGUGGAGU
This 310-nucleotide ribosomal RNA is filed under the name uncultured Helicobacter sp. Its description in RNAcentral is "bacterial SSU rRNA". It matches the Rfam family "Bacterial small subunit ribosomal RNA", at positions 85 to 400 of the family's 1533-position model. The record is from RNAcentral. Lineage: Bacteria; Pseudomonadati; Campylobacterota; Epsilonproteobacteria; Campylobacterales; Helicobacteraceae.